RNAcentral lists this ribosomal RNA (216 nucleotides) under Glomeromycotina sp. RNAcentral describes it as "partial small subunit ribosomal RNA". The stretch from base 40 to 216 matches the Rfam family "Eukaryotic small subunit ribosomal RNA", at positions 686 to 864 of the family's 1831-position model. Lineage: Eukaryota; Fungi; Glomeromycota. The record is from RNAcentral.
GGGUCAGUAGGUUGGACGUGCCACCGGUACGUACUGGUCUCACUGAUUCCUCCUUCCUGACGAACCGUAAUGCCAUUAAUUUGGUGUUGCGGGGAAACAGGACUGUUACUUUGAAAAAAUUAGAGUGUUUAAAGCAAGCUAACGCUUGAAUACAUUAGCAUGGAAUAAUGAAAUAGGACGAUCGAUCCUAUUUUGUUGGUUUCUAGGAUUGACGUA